RNAcentral lists this ribosomal RNA (465 nucleotides) under uncultured bacterium. RNAcentral describes it as "bacterial SSU rRNA". It matches the Rfam family "Bacterial small subunit ribosomal RNA", at positions 78 to 518 of the family's 1533-position model. The record is from RNAcentral.
AGCAAUAGAAUCUUAGUGGCGAACGGGUGAGUAACGCGUAGGCAAUCUGCCUCUAGAUGGGGACAACAUCCCCGAAAAGGGGGUGCUAAUACCGAAUGUUGUAACGACUUCGCAUGAAGUUGCUACUAAAGGGUGGCCUCUGAAUAUGCUACCGCUAGAAGAUGAGCCUGCGUCUGAUUAGCUAGUUGGAGGGGUAACGGCCCACCAAGGCUUCGAUCAGUAGCCGGUCUGAGAGGAUGAACGGCCACACUGGGACUGAGACACGGCCCAGACUCCUACGGGAGGCGGCAGUGGGGAAUCUUCCGCAAUGGACGAAAGUCUGACGGAGCAACGCCGCGUGAGUGGAAAAGAAGGUUUUCGGAUCGUAAAACUCUGUUGUCAGAGAAGAACAAGUUGGAGAGUAACUGCUCCAGCCUUGACGGUAUCUGACCAGAAAGCCACGGCUAACUACGUGCCAGCCGCGGC